UUGCAUCAUCCUAGAAAACUUGGAGGCCAGUGAGGACAAAAAUAAAAAGUUAUAAGACUUUAAAAAUGUGGAUAUUUGGGUCCUCUUUGGCGCCCCCUAGAACGUAGACCAUGGGGUGCAGCGUCAUGAUUUUUACAACUUUGAAUGGCCAUGGGGUGUAGAUUGGCCUGAGCAAAUUUGGUGUCAGUGGGACAAAAGCCUUAGGAGGAGUUAGCCACAUUCCAAUGUGUGCGAAUCGGCAAAAAAUGCGAAAUAGCACUUUAACCGUACAUUUUACAGAUACGCGCGCAUUGACUUUUUCGUAGAUCUUAUUGAGAUACACGUGAUUGUCAAAUUUUGUGUCAAUAUGACAAAGCGUACAGGCGUGACAUUCAACAAUGUGUAUUUUCACCUUAGGGGACAAGAAAAAAUUGACUUUUUUGUCCUGCCAUGGGGGGGCGCUCUUUUGGGGAGUAAAAAUUCCUUCACAAAUGUGUUGAUGGCUGGACAUUGCAUCAUCCUAGAAAACUUGGAGGCCAGUGAGGGCAAAAAUAAAAAGUUAUAAAACUUUUAAGAAUGUGGAUUUUAGGGUUAUUUUUGGCGCCCCCUAGAACCUAAACCAUGGGGUGCAGCAUCAUGAUUUGUACAACUUUGAAUGGCCAUGGAGUGUAGAUUGGCCUGAGCAAAUGUGGUGCCGGUGGACCGAAAGCCUUCGGAGGAGUUAGCGAAAUUCCAAUGUGUGCGGAUCUGCAAAAAAUGCAAAAUAACCCUUUAACCGUACAUUUGACAGAUACGCCCGCACUGACUUUUUUGUAGAUCUUAUUGAGAUACAUGUGUGUGUCAAUUUUUGUGUCAAUAUGACAAAGCGUACAGGCGUGACAGUCAAUAGUGUGAAUUUUCACCUUAGGGGGCGCUAUGGAGCCAUUUUGUAUUUUAUUGUUUGGGCGACUUCAGAAUAUCGAAUUUUUCACCAGGCCCGGUCGUCCUGCCAAAUUUCCUGAGUUUUCGCCAGUGGGAAGUGGGCCAUUUUCCAGUUUAAAGCGGAGGAAAAAUAAUAAUAACUAGGGCCCCGUUGGGGCACUGGCGGGCCCGAGCUGUGUCGCGCCCCCCCCCCCAACGCGCUGCCUCCCCGUCCCAUUCGCGUCCUCUGGCCAUCGUCCUCUCUGGUAACGCCCAUCACUGCAAAGACCCUUUUCCUUCAUCGGCGUUUGCUGUUCUUCCUGCCAGUGCGUGUGGCUUUCACUUGCACUUGCCACAGCCAGCCUCGUGAGUGCCUAGCCUAUUGGAUAUCACUGUCACCUACACAGGACAGUCAUUACCUUUCUAUUAAUACUUUGUUUUUUAAUUUCACAUUAAUUUCCAUAUUGUCUAAACGACUGGAAAAAACUUGAGCCCCUGCCCCUGUAUAAUCAUGUGCACGUCCCUGUUCUAGCUCCAAGGUGAAUCUUGACUGCUCAUGUUCUCCUCAGAAGCAGUCACCUCACUCCACUCAGGUUACUGUACACAUGCACCAACUGCCUGCUUCAGGUUUGGAUGGAGCUUCAUGGUUGUCUUUUGGAGAAAUGAGCAGUCAAGUUGUGUUUGAAAUUUGAUUUUUUUCAGGGGCAAAAGGAAGUCUCUGCAUUGUUGUCAAAUAUGUAAAUAGCAUGUUUUUGCAGGUGCUGAAAAACAGACUCUGAGUGUGUAUGUGUGUGUGUGUGUGUGUGUGUGUGUGUGUGUGUGUGUGUGUGUGUGUGUGUGCGUGUGUGUGUGUGUCUGUGUGUGUGUGUGUCUGUGUGUGUGUAUCCUGCAGUACUCUGUACUCCUGCAGUGGCCAAAACGACUUUUAAGAAUGUGGAUAUUUGGGUCAUCUUUGGCGCCCCCUAGAACGUAAACCAUGGGGUGCAGCGGCAUGGUUUUUACAACUUUGAAUGGCCAUGGGGUGUAGAUUGGCCUGAGCAAAUUUGGUGUCAGUGGGACGAAAGCCUUAGGAGGAGUUAGCCACAUUCCAAUGUGUGCGAAUCGGCAAAAAAUGCAAAAUAGCCGUUUAGCCGUACAUUUUACAGAUACGCGCGCAUUGACUUUUUCGUAGAUCUUAUUGAGAUACACGUGUGUGUCAAUUUUUUUGUCAAUAUGACAAAGCGUACAGGCGUGAAUCUCAACAAUGUGUAUUUUCACCUUAGGGGACAAGAAAAAAUUGACUUUUUUGUCCUGCCAUGGGGGGGCGCUCUUUUGGGGAGUAAAAAUUCCUUCACAAAUGUGUUGAUGGCUGGACAUUGCAUCAUCCUAGAAAACUUGGAGGCCAGUGAGGACAAAAAUAAAAAGUUAUAAAACUUUUAAGAAUGUGGAUUUUUGGGUUAUUUUUGGCGCCCCCUAGAACCUAAACCAUGGGGUGCAGCGUCAUGAUUUGUACAACUUUGAAUGGCCAUGGAGUGUAGAUUGGCCUUAGCAAAUGUGGUGCCGGUGGAACGAAAGCCUUCGGAGGAGUUAGCGAAAUUCCAAUGUGUGCGGAUCGGCAAAAAAUGCGAAAUAACCCUUUAACCGUACAUUUGACAGAUACGCCCGCACUGACUUUUUUGUAGAUCUUAUUGAGAUACAUGUGUGUGUCAAUUUUUGUGUCAAUAUGACAAAGCGUACAGGCGUGACAGUCAAUAGUGUGAAUUUUCACCUUAGGGGGCGCUAUGGAGCCAUUUUGCAUUUUAUUGUUUGGGUGACUUCAGAAUAUCGAAUUUUUCACCAGGCCCGGUCGUCCUGCCAAAUUUCAUGAGUUUUCGCCAGUGGGAAGUGGGCCAUUUUCCAGUUUAAAGCGGAGGAAAAAUAAUAAUAAUAACAAAAGAAGAAUCCAUCAGGAACAAGAGGGCUCUCGCAGCUGCUUAGCAGCUACGCUCGGGCCCUAAUAACUAGGACCCCGUUGGGGCACUGGCGGGCCCAAGCUGUGUCACGUCCCCCCCCCAACGCGCUGCCUCCCCGUCCCAUUUGUGUCCUCUGGCCAUCGCCCUCUUUGGUAACGCCCAUCACUGCAAAGACCCUUUUCCUUCAUCGGCGUUUGCUGUUCUUCCUGCCAGUGCGUGUUGCUUUCACUUACACUUGCCACAGCCAGCCUCGUGAGUGCCUAGCCUAUUGGAUAUCACUGUCACCUACACAGGACAGUCAUUACCUUUCUAUUAAUACUUUGUGUUUUAAUUUCACAUUAAUUUCCAAAUUGUAUAAACGACUGGAAAAAACUUGAGCCCCUGCCCCUGUAUAAUCAUGUGCACGUCUCUGUUCUAGCUCUAAGGUAAAUCUUCACUGCUCAUGUUCUCCUCAGAAGCAGUCACCUCACUCCCCUCAGGUUACUGUACACAUGCACCAACUGCCUGCUUCAGGUUUGGAUGGAGCUUCAUGGUUGUCUUUUGGAGAAAUGACCAGUCAAGUUGUGUUUGAAAUUUGAUUUUUUUCAGGGGCAAAAGGAGCCUCUGCAUUCUUGUCAAAUAUGUAAAUAGCAUGUUUUUGCAGGUGCUACAAACCAGACUCUGAGUGUGUGUGUGUGCGUGUGUGUGUGUGUCUGUGUGUGUGUGUGUGUGUGUGUGUGUGCGCGUUCAAGUCACAUGACAUAUUUAACCGGAUGUAGCUGCAAGACGGAGCCUCGUUGACUCUCCGUUUCAAUUUAUCUCAAAAGUGAGGACCUCAACCUAUAUACCAGUUUUUAAAUUGUGUUGAUAGGCCAAAUAAAACCAGAGUUAUGAUAAAUUAUGUCCGCGAUACUUGUUUUCUGCUUAUUUUGAUCACGUUCGGCGCUCGAUCGCGCUGUAUGAGACAGGAAAACAUAGCAUGCAGACAUUAGCGACAGGUCUUACAGGCGGAAAAGGCUUGCCAAAGGAAAAAAAAUACACACCACAACAUCUCUCCUAUUGGUGGAAAACUUCACCACAACAACCAAUCCAAAAUUAUAUGGUGACUGAUUGACAAGGGGCGGGCGCUUACGUUCUUCCUGCAAUAUGAGAAGGGAGGGAGGGACUCUCAGCAGGGAUGCAGUCUGGGACACGUAGUUGCAAACCUAGCGACUUUGUUGUAGAUUCAAUGACUUUUCAGACCCCCUAACGACUUUUUUUUUAGAAAGAAAGGGACUUUUAUCGACUUCUUCUGGAGUUUAGAAACUCUGACAUGAAGCAGGCUUUCCUUACUGAGGAGUUAGCAACGCUGCUAAGGGUGCAGAGACACACAUGAGCUCCGAGCUCUGCAUGGGAGACUGAAGCUGACAGAGCUGCAGCAGUUAGCAGGUUUCACCCUCAGAGACCACCAGGGGUUCAUGUUGAGGCAUUUUCAGUUUUUUUUUUUUUUUUUUGCCAUAGACACUGUCAGCACAAUCUGCAGUUACACUAACAAAAAAGCUGCAAAAAACAAAGAAUUAUGGAAAAAUUACACAUGGACUGACAUAGAGGAGGAUCUACACAAGUUUUUUACAUCAUGUUUUACAUCAUGCAUCAUUUACAUCAUGUUUUUUUGUAGUGGCAUAAAUAAAAAGUGACAUUUGUGAGACUAUACAGUGUUUUGUAAAUAAUUUUACAAAGAACGCCUGGGCCAUUGCCUGCAUUUUGAUGUAAAUAGAGGUAAAUUACUAUGUUCUUUGUUAAAAAUUUGCAUAUGUUUUGAAGUUUACAAUUUUUAUUUGAAGUUUAAGUUUUAAAAACAGUUCAUCACACAUAUUUGUGGUUUUCACAGUAAAAAUGUUACUUUUUUCCACUCGGAUUUUAUGUUUUGUGUGUGAAUUUGGGUCCAUUGUGUAAAUACAGUAUGUCAAAAUGAUAAAAUAACUGUAAAUUCACACAGGUGAGGUUGUGCUGAAAAAAAUGAUACCAGGCAAGGCAAGGUAAAAAAAUUUUAAGAGGAAAUAUAAAGGUAAAAUCUAAAGUAGUCAAAAAAGGCCAAUAGUGACUCACAGACUCCACAGACUAGUCCCUUUGGCGCCACUCAGUGGGCAAAACUACUUUGUCUGCUGUAAUGUAUAUUUGGGUCAUCUUUGGCGCCCCCUAAAACGUAAACCGUGGGGUGCAGCGUCAUGAUUUUUACAACUUUGAAUGGCCAUGGAGUGUAGAUUGGCCUGAGCAAAUUUGGUGUCAGUGGGACGAAAGCCUUAGGAGGAGUUAGCGAAAUUCCAAUGUGUGCGAAUCGGCAAAAAAUGCAAAAUAGCCCUUUAACCGUACAUUUUACACUUACGUGCCCAUUGACUUUUUCAUAGAUCUUAUUGAGAUACAUGUGAUUGUCAAAUUUUUUGUCAAUAUGACAAAGCGUAAAGGCGUGACAGUCAACAACGUGUAUUUUCACCUUUCGGGAUAAGAAAAAAUGGACUUUUUUCUCCUGCCAUGGGGGGGCGCUCUUUUGGAGAGUUAAAAUUCCUUCACAAAUGUGUUGAUGGCUGGACAUUGCAUCAUCCUAGAAAACUUGGAGGCCAGUGAGGACAAAAAUAAAAAGUUAUAAGACUUUUAAGAAUGUGGAUUUUUGGGUUAUCUUUGGCGCCCCCUAGAACCUAAACCGUGGGGUGCAGCGUCAUGAUUUGUACAACUUUUAAUGGUCAUGGGGUGUAGAUUGGCCUGAGCAAAUUUGGUGCCGGUGGAACGAAAGCCUUCGGAGGAGUUAGCGAAAUUCCUAUGUGUGCGGAUCGGCAAAAAAAGCGAAAUAGCCCUUUAACCGUACAUUUGACAGAUACGCCCACACUGACUUUUUUGUAGAUCUUAUUGAGAUACACAUGUGUGUCAAAUUUUGUGUCAUUUUGACAAAGCGUACAGGUGUCAGGUGAGUUUUCACCAUAGGGGGCGCUAUGGAGCCAUUUUUCAUUUUUUUGUUUGAGCGACUUCAGAAUAUCAAAUUUUUCACCAGGCCCGGUCGUCCUGCCAAAUUUCCUGAGUUUUCGUCAGUGGGAAGUGGGCCAUUUUCCAGUUUAAAGCGGAGGAAAAAUAACGAAAGAAGAAUCCAUCAGGAACAAGAGGGCUCUCGCAGCUGCUUAGCAGCUACGCUCGGGCCCUAACUAGGGCCCCGGUGGGGCACUGUCGGGCCCGAGCCGCGUCGCGCCGCCCCCAGCGCGACGCCUCCCCCUCCCGAUCGCGUCACACUCAAGGUCCAAAGAUGGUGUGGGCACUUGUCUGUGGUCAUUUCCCAUUAUAAUGAAUGGGAGGCGCAGUUUCUACCAAAACGCUGGCUGCAGACAAACUACAUGUCCUAUUUGAAAAAAGUCUGGACCACGAGUGAGGGCACAAACACAGCUAGGAUAUGUCCAAAUGGCAAGUUGCUCCUCCUUACGGUGUUGCCGGGAGAGCGAUGCGAUUGAGCCAUUGAGCGAUGGGCAGGGUUAACUUGACUUUUUCUCCUGCCUUGGGGGGGGGGGGGGUGGAUUCUUUUAAGAAUGUGGAUAUUUGGGUCAUCUUUGGCGCCCCCUAGAACCUAUACCGUGGGGUGCAGCGUCAUGAUUUUUACAACUUUGAAUGGCCAUGGGAUGUAGAUCGGCUUGAGCAAAUUUGGUGUCGUUGGGACGAAAGCCUAAGGAGGAGUUAGCGAAAUUCCAAUGUGUGCAGAUCUGCAAAAAAUGCGAAAUAACCCUCUAACCGUACAUUUUACAGAUACGUGCCCAUCGACUCUUUCGUAGAUCUUAUUGAGAUACACGUGUGUGUCAAAUUUUGUGUCAUUUUGACAAAGCGUAUAGGCGUGACAGUCAACAAUGUGUAUUUUCACCUUAGGGGACAAGAAAAAAUGGACUUUUUUCUCCUGCCAUGUGGGGGCGCUCUUUUGGGGAGUAAAAAUUCCUUCACAAAUGUGUUGAUGGCUGGACAUUGCAUCAUCCUAGAGAACUUGGAGGCCAGUGAGGAAAAAAAUAAAAAGUUAUAAGACUUUUAAGAAUGUGGAUUUUUUGGUUAUCUUUGGCGCCACCUAGAACCUAAACCGUAGGGUGCAGCGUCAUGAUUUGUACAACUUUCGAUGGCCAUGGGGUGUAGAUUGGCCUGAGCAAAUGUGGUGCCGGUGGAACGAAAGCCUUCGGAGGAGUUAGCGAAAUUUCAAUGUGUGCGGAUCGGCAAAAAAUGCGAAAUAACCCUUUAACCGUACAUUUGACAGAUACGCCCGCACUGACUUUUUUGUAGAUCUUAUUGAGAUACAUGUGUGUGUCAAUUUUUGUGUCAAUAUGGCAAAGCGUACAGGCGUGACAGUCAACAGUGUGAAUUUCCACCUUAGGGGGCGCUAUGGAGCCAUUUUGCAUUUUAUUCUUUGGGUGACUUCAGAAUAUCGAAUUUUUCACCAGGCCCGGUCGUCCUGCCAAAUUUCAUGAGUUUUUGCCAGUGGGAAGUGGGCCAUUUUCCA
This 7284-nucleotide long non-coding RNA is filed under the name Xyrichtys novacula (pearly razorfish). Lineage: Eukaryota; Metazoa; Chordata; Actinopteri; Labriformes; Labridae. The record is from RNAcentral.